Molecule: ribosomal RNA, 1113 nt
Filed under: uncultured bacterium
Lineage: Bacteria
Description: bacterial SSU rRNA
Rfam family: Bacterial small subunit ribosomal RNA
Source: RNAcentral
CCACCAGGCUAGACGGGUAGCUGGCUGAGAGGGUGGUCAGCACACUGGGACUGAGACCCGGCCCAGACACUACGGGUGGCAGCAGUCGAGAAUUUUUCACAAUGGGCGAAAGCCUGAUGGAGCGACGCCGCGUGGAGGAUGAAGGCCUUCGGGUUGUAAACUCCUGUCACCCUGGACCAAGACUUUCAGCUUGAAUAAAGCUGGAAGUUUGAUUGUACAGGGAGAGGAAGGGACGGCAAACUCUGUGCCAGCAGCCGCGGUAAUACAGAGGUCCCAAGCGUUGCUCGGAUUUACUGGGCGUAAAGGGUGUGUAGGAGGUUAGAUAAGUCGGAUGUGAAAUCCCUUUGCUUAACAAAGGAACUGCAUUCGAUACUGUCUAGCUAGAGGACCGGAGGGGGAAGCGGAACUCUCGGUGUAGCGGUGAAAUGCGUGGAUAUCGAGAGGAACACCGGUGGCGAAGGCGGCUUCCUGGACGGUACCUGACUCUGAUACACGAAAGCUAGGGGAGCGAACGGGAUUAGAUACCCCGGUAGUCCUAGCCGUAAACGGUGUGCGUUAGGCGUUGGCGGAAUCGACCCCGCCAGUGCCGUAGCUAACGCGUUAAACGCACCGCCUGAGGAGUACGGCCGCAAGGCUAAAACUCAAAGAAAUUGACGGGGGCCCGCACAAGCGGUGGAGCAUGUGGCUUAAUUCGAUGCAACGCGAAGAACCUUACCAGGCCUUGACAUGCCGUGUUCAGUUGCCGAAAGGCAAUGGCCCGCAAGGGCGAACGGCACAGGUGCUGCAUGGCUGUCGUCAGCUCGUGUCGUGAGAUGUUGGGUUAAGUCCCGCAACGAGCGCAACCCCUAUGUCCAGUUGCCGAAAGGCUCUCUGAACAGACUGCCUCGUAUAACGGGGAGGAAGGUGGGGACGACGUCAAGUCAGGAUGGCCCUUAUGGCCUGGGCUGCACACGUGUUACAAUGCCCGGUACAGAGGGAAGCAAGACCGCGAGGUGGAGCAAAUCCCAAAAACCGGGCCCAGUUCAGAUCGAAGGCUGCAACUCGCCUUCGUGAAGCCGGAAUCGCUAGUAAUGGCGCAUCAGCUACGGCGCCGUGAAUACGUUCCCGGGCCUU